UACUUGGGGAGGGAUCAUUA
This 20-nucleotide ribosomal RNA is filed under the name Candida tropicalis. RNAcentral's name for it is "partial 18S ribosomal RNA". The record is from RNAcentral. Lineage: Eukaryota; Fungi; Ascomycota; Pichiomycetes; Serinales; Debaryomycetaceae.